Molecule: unclassified non-coding RNA, 446 nt
Filed under: Hevea brasiliensis (rubber tree)
Lineage: Eukaryota; Viridiplantae; Streptophyta; Magnoliopsida; Malpighiales; Euphorbiaceae
Source: RNAcentral
AGUGAUCUUGAUGUUAUUGAAGGUUUUGUGAAUCUGCCUGCCGCGCGGCAUGGUUGCACGGGCUCCUCUGCCGUUGGCUGUCGUGGAAGGUAGGCCACCGCUUGCUCUCUUCUGGGGAGUGAAGUUCUCAAUUCCCAUAUUAAAGUUAACUCUCUCGGAUUGUAGACUCAGAAGCGGCAAUUAGAGAGAGAUCCAAAUUCUCUCUCUUUUGGGUGUAUAGUUUUCUAGUGUGUGGAUCUGAAAGGCAUUUAAUAUAAUAAUAUAAAGUUCUAUAUUCUCUUAGCUCUGAGAGCUCUUUGUAGGGAGGGGGAAGCGGAAGAAUAAUUUAAAAAUCCUAGGCGGCGGUUACGGUGGCGUUGGUGUUGGACGCGUUGGUCCUGUUUUGGUAGCGGUGACAAUGGAAGAGUUCAAAUCAGGGACUGCGCUGGGACGACGUACGUCCAACU